RNAcentral lists this ribosomal RNA (1250 nucleotides) under Eggplant big bud phytoplasma. Its description in RNAcentral is "bacterial SSU rRNA". It matches the Rfam family "Bacterial small subunit ribosomal RNA", at positions 153 to 1399 of the family's 1533-position model. Lineage: Bacteria; Bacillati; Mycoplasmatota; Mollicutes; Acholeplasmatales; Acholeplasmataceae. The record is from RNAcentral.
GAAACAGUUGCUAAGACAGGAUAGGAAAUUAAGAGGCAUCUUUUAAUUUUUAAAAGACCUUUUUCGAAAGGUAUACUUAAAGAGGGGCUUGCGCCACAUUAGUUAGUUGGUAAGGUAAAGGCUUACCAAGACGAUGAUGUGUAGCUGGACUGAGAGGUCGAACAGCCACAUUGGGACUGAGACACGGCCCAAACUCCUACGGGAGGCAGCAGUAAGGAAUUUUUGGCAAUGGAGGAAACUCUGACCGAGCGACGUCGCGUGAACAAUGAAGUACUUCGGUAUGUAAAGUUCUUUUAUUGAAAAAGAAAAAAUAGUGGAAAAACUAUCUUGACAUUAUUCAAUGAAUAAGCCCCGGCUAAUUAUGUGCCAGCAGCCGCGGUAAUACAUAAGGGGCGAGCGUUAUCCGGAAUUAUUGGGCGUAAAGGGUGCGUAGGCGGUUUGAUAAGUCUAUAGUUUAAAUGCAGUGCUUAACGCUGUAGCGCUAUAGAAACUGUCUGACUAGAGUUAGAUAGAGGCAAGCGGAAUUCCAUGUGUAGCGGUAAAAUGCGUAAAUAUAUGGAGGAACACCAGAGGCGUAGGCGGCUUGCUGGGUCUUAACUGACGCUGAGGCACGAAAGCGUGGGGAGCAAACAGGAUUAGAUACCCUGGUAGUCCACGCCGUAAACGAUGAGUACUAAGUGUCGGGUUUCGGCUCGGUACUGAAGUCAACACAUUAAGUACUCCGCCUGAGUAGUACGUACGCAAGUAUGAAACUUAAAGGAAUUGACGGGACCCCGCACAAGCGGUGGAUCAUGUUGUUUAAUUCGAAGAUACACGAAAAACCUUACCAGGUCUUGACAUAAUUUUGCGACAUUAUAGAAAUAUAAUGAAGGUUAUCAGAAUUACAGGUGGUGCAUGGUUGUCGUCAGCUCGUGUCGUGAGAUGUUAGGUUAAGUCCUAAAACGAGCGCAACCCUUGUCGUUAGUUGCGACCACGUAAUGGUGAGCACUUUAGCGAGACUGCCAAUGAAAAAUUGGAGGAAGGUGAGGAUUACGUCAAAUCAUCAUGCCCCUUAUGAUCUGGGCUACAAACGUGAUACAAUGGCUGUUACAAAGAGUAGCUACAACGCGAGUUUUUAGCCAAUCUCAAAAAAACAGUCUCAGUUCGGAUUGAAGUCUGCAACUCGACUUCAUGAAGUUGGAAUCGCUAGUAAUCGCGAAUCAGCAUGUCGCGGUGAAUACGUUCUCGGGGUUUGUACACACCGCCCGUCA